Molecule: non-coding RNA, 226 nt
Organism: Camelina sativa (false flax)
Lineage: Eukaryota; Viridiplantae; Streptophyta; Magnoliopsida; Brassicales; Brassicaceae
Source: RefSeq, a predicted model, not a curated record
UUUUUUUUUUUUUUUCUUUCCAAAGAGAGAGUCCAAGAAAGAAACCAAAUCCUCUUGUGGCCUCUUUACAUUUUUUCAGGAGAGAGAAAACUCAAAGCAGCUCUCUCUGGCCUUUGUUUUCUGAAAUCGAUCUCUUCUUCUUCUUCUUCUUCAUGAUCUGGUUGGUUUUUGUGCAUCUGAGUUUGUAAAAACUUCUUCUCUGGACUGAGUAAAAAAAAAAAAAAAA